CNCNGCCAAGGAGUCUAACAUGUGCGCGAGUCAUGGGGUCUUCCGAAACCCAAAGGCACAAUGAAAGUGAAGGCCGCCUCCGGUUGGCCUAGGCAGGAUCCCGUCGACCCUUCGGCGGGCGCACUGCCGGCCCGUCUCGAUAGCAUUGCCUACGAGGCGGAGCAAGAGCGUACACGUUGGGACCCGAAAGAUGGUGAACUAUGCCUGAGUAGGACGAAGCCAGAGGAAACUCUGGUGGAGGUCCGUAGCGAUUCUGACGUGCAAAUCGAUCGUCAAACUUGGGUAUAGGGGCGAAAGACUAAUCGAACCAUCUAGUAGCUGGUUCCCUCCGAAGUUUCCCUCAGGAUAGCUGGCACUGUGUGACAUGCAGUAGCACGUCGGUAAAGCGAAUGAUUAGAGGCCUUGGGGACUAAAUGACCUCAACCUAUUCUCAAACUUUAAAUGGGUGCGAAGUCCGACUCGCUCAGUUGGAGCCGGACAUGGUAUGCAAAGUGCCAAGUGGGCCACUUUUGGUAAGCAGAACUGGCGCUGUGGGAUGAACCAAACGUCCGGUUAAGGCGCCCGAUACUGACGCUCAUCAGAUACCAUAAAAGGUGUUGGUUGAUACAGACAGCAGGACGGUGGCCAUGGAAGUCGGAACCCGCUAAGGGAGUNNU
This 656-nucleotide ribosomal RNA is filed under the name Thyasira flexuosa. Its description in RNAcentral is "eukaryotic LSU rRNA". It matches the Rfam family "Eukaryotic large subunit ribosomal RNA", at positions 666 to 1282 of the family's 3401-position model. Lineage: Eukaryota; Metazoa; Mollusca; Bivalvia; Lucinida; Thyasiridae. The record is from RNAcentral.